Long non-coding RNA from Sardina pilchardus (European sardine), 578 nucleotides. RefSeq lists it as uncharacterized. Lineage: Eukaryota; Metazoa; Chordata; Actinopteri; Clupeiformes; Clupeidae. The transcript has 3 exons. The record is from RefSeq and is a predicted model, not a curated record.
GGGGGAUGAAGUUUCCAUACUGUUGUUGAGACGACACUGCAGUUCCUUCUGAAGGCACCAUGAAGCUCAGCAUCGCCAUCACCAUCUGCGCUCUACUCUACUUCUUUGGUCCUGCUUUCGGCCAGAAUACGAAUAGCGGAAGUUUUGGAAACAGCGGGAGUAUGAAUAUGGGUCGACUGAGGCGUGACAAUACCAAUAGCGGAAGUUUUGACAACAGCGGGAGUAUGAAUAUGGGUCGACUGAGGCGUGACAAUACCAAUAGCGGAAGUUUUGGAAACAGCGGGAGUAUGAAUAUGGGUAGACUGAGGCGUGACAAUACCAAUAGCGGAGGUUUCGCUAACAGCGGAAGCAUGAAUAUGGGUCGACUGAGGCGUGACAAUACCAAUAGCGGAAGUUUUGGAAACAGCGGGAGUAUGAACAUGGGUUGAGGCGUACCUCUGAACCAACUGGAAAUGCAAUCGACCCAAAAGAUUGCUGAUGACGGGGAGCAGAGCUGCAGAGCUACGGUCCACCGUUGGUCCACCGUUGGUCAGGAAGACUCCAGAGUCACUUUGACACAAUAAAGAAUUUCAGCAUCA